UGGGGAAUAUUGCACAAUGGGCGCAAGCCUGAUGCAGCCAUGCCGCGUGUGUGAAGAAGGCCUUCGGGUUGUAAAGCACUUUCAGCGGGGAGGAAGGCGGUGAGGUUAAUAACCUCAUCGAUUGACGUUACCCGCAGAAGAAGCACCGGCUAACUCCGUGCCAGCAGCCGCGGUAAUACGGAGGGUGCAAGCGUUAAUCGGAAUUACUGGGCGUAAAGCGCACGCAGGCGGUCUGUCAAGUCGGAUGUGAAAUCCCCGGGCUCAACCUGGGAACUGCAUUCGAAACUGGCAGGCUAGAGUCUUGUAGAGGGGGGUAGAAUUCCAGGUGUAGCGGUGAAAUGCGUAGAGAUCUGGAGGAAUACCGGUGGCGAAGGCGGCCCCCUGGACAAAGGCUGACGCUCAGGUGCGAAAGCGUGGGGAGCAAACAGG
RNAcentral lists this ribosomal RNA (429 nucleotides) under Chloroflexota bacterium. RNAcentral describes it as "Chloroflexi bacterium partial 16S ribosomal RNA". It matches the Rfam family "Bacterial small subunit ribosomal RNA", at positions 355 to 776 of the family's 1533-position model. The record is from RNAcentral. Lineage: Bacteria; Bacillati; Chloroflexota.